RNAcentral lists this ribosomal RNA (1473 nucleotides) under metagenome. RNAcentral describes it as "bacterial SSU rRNA". It matches the Rfam family "Bacterial small subunit ribosomal RNA". The record is from RNAcentral.
AGAGUUUGAUCCUGGCUCAGGAUGAACGCUAGCUACAGGCUUAACACAUGCAAGUCGAGGGGAAACGAUAUUGGAAGCUUGCUUCCGAUAGGCGUCGACCGGCGCACGGGUGAGUAACGCGUAUCCAACCUGCCCAUCACUUGGGGAUAACCUUGCGAAAGUAAGACUAAUACCCAAUGACGUCUCUAGAAGACAUCUGAAGGAGAUUAAAGAUUUAUCGGUGAUGGAUGGGGAUGCGUCUGAUUAGCUUGUUGGCGGAGUAACGGCCCACCAAGGCGACGAUCGGUAGCCGGACUGAGAGGUUGAACGGCCACAUUGGGACUGAGACACGGCCCAGACUCCUACGGGAGGCAGCAGUGGGGAAUAUUGCACAAUGGGGGAAACCCUGAUGCAGCGACGCCGCGUGGAGGAAGAAGGUCUUCGGAUUGUAACUCCUGUUGAUGGGGAAGAUAAUGACGGUACCCAACAAGGAAGUGACGGCUAACUACGUGCCAGCAGCCGCGGUAAAACGUAGGUCACAAGCGUUGUCCGGAAUUACUGGGUGUAAAGGGAGCGCAGGCGGGAAGACAAGUUGGAAGUGAAAUCCAUGGGCUCAACCCAUGAACUGCUUUCAAAACUGUUUUUCUUGAGUAGUGCAGAGGUAGGCGGAAUUCCCGGUGUAGCGGUGGAAUGCGUAGAUAUCGGGAGGAACACCAGUGGCGAAGGCGGCCUACUGGGCACCAACUGACGCUGAGGCUCGAAAGUGUGGGUAGCAAACAGGAUUAGAUACCCUGGUAGUCCACACCGUAAACGAUGAUUACUAGGUGUUGGAGGAUUGACCCCUUCAGUGCCGCAGUUAACACAAUAAGUAAUCCACCUGGGGAGUACGACCGCAAGGUUGAAACUCAAAGGAAUUGACGGGGGCCCGCACAAGCAGUGGAGUAUGUGGUUUAAUUCGACGCAACGCGAAGAACCUUACCAAGUCUUGACAUCCGUUGACCGCUGUAGAAAUACAGUUUUCCUUCGGGACAGCGAGACAGGUGGUGCAUGGUUGUCGUCAGCUCGUGUCGUGAGAUGUUGGGUUAAGUCCCGCAACGAGCGCAACCCUUAUGGUCAGUUACUACGCAAGAGGACUCUGGCCAGACUGCCGUUGACAAAACGGAGGAAGGUGGGGAUGACGUCAAAUCAUCAUGCCCUUUAUGACUUGGGCUACACACGUACUACAAUGGCGUUAAACAAAGAGAAGCAAGACCGCGAGGUGGAGCAAAACUCAGAAACAACGUCCCAGUUCGGACUGCAGGCUGCAACUCGCCUGCACGAAGUCGGAAUUGCUAGUAAUCGUGGAUCAGCAUGCCACGGUGAAUACGUUCCCGGGCCUUGUACACACCGCCCGUCACACCAUGAGAGCCGGGGGGACCCGAAGUCGGUAGUCUAACCGCAAGGAGGACGCCGCCGAAGGUAAAACUGGUGAUUGGGGUGAAGUCGUAACAAGGU